Molecule: long non-coding RNA, 1673 nt
Filed under: Equus caballus (horse)
Lineage: Eukaryota; Metazoa; Chordata; Mammalia; Perissodactyla; Equidae
Description: lncRNA (ENSECAG00000033105.3)
Source: RNAcentral
ACAAAGAGAGGAUGGAGCCCAGCUUGCAUCAUCCCCUUUGCCAUUCAAACGGGAAGGGAAACAAUUUUAAUCAGGAACCAGGUGCCACAAAUAGUCAAAGGCAAAAGCUUCACUUGUAACUCAGGCACUCAGAUAAGUCAGGCAGAGUGUAUCUUUCCCCGCAAACAAAAGAUGAUUACCCCAGGAUGCCCCUCAACGUUGCCCGCAAGAAGAUGGCAGCGGCCGUUUGCUCUGGGGAUCCCUGCAGGCUGCAUCCUUCUGCGCACCCUGCCCUGUGCCCCUUCAUCCCUGUUCAGCCUUUCUCUGCAAUGAUGUGCCCCCUGAGGCUUCAGAUGGGCCAAUAUCUAGAGGUGGGAAACUGGCCGCCAUAACCUGCACUCCCCACUGUGGUGAGGACAACCCCUCCACCGGGCCCCUUUACUUGGCAAGGCAUUUACAGGUUGUAAGGAAACUACAAGAGAUAGCGCAACAUCUCAGAACUGUCAGCACCUGGGUGAGCAUCUCCAGUCUGAACACGCGAGGGGAAGAAGCAGCUACUGGAGUCUGAAGGGAGAUGACUAUGUGAAGAGGACCACUUGACAGGAGAUGCAAAGCUUCAGUGGAUGGGCACAGUGAGCCCGAGGGUGACUCCACUGGGGUCACCAAGGAAUGAAGUGUGAGAAUGAAUACGCUGACCUCACUCUCCUCCUUUUUCCUCAUCUCCUGUUGGUGCUCCUCAUUGGCCCAACCCAAUGGGAAGCCAGCGGUAAACCUAGACCAAUGAUGUAGUCCUUAUAGGUUAGCCUCCUAAGGCUUAGGGCGGGGUGGAGAGGAUGGGAAGUAAAUCUAGAGGGGCAAAUGAGAGCUAUCCAGCAUGGGUAGGCCUGAAUUGAAGUACAUGUCUAUCGAUUGACUGUUGACCUUAGGCGGGUUACUUAAUUCUCUUAGCCCUGCCUCUGAGGAGACAGUCACUUACGUAUCAUUUCUGCUCCACAGCCCCAAUAUCCAUUCCAGCUCUAAGAAAAGGAGAUUGCUAGUGUUGUGAUUUUUCAUAAACAAGACUUUAAAUGGCAUUCACAUUUAUACUAUUUACCAAAAUGUUUUAAGUCAAUAAUGUACACCUAUAUUACAUUUUAAUGCUUAUUUUAUAUUUGUUACUGUGACUACAAAACUUUUAGCAGCUUUAUUGAGAUACAAUUGACAUGUAAUAAACUACGCAUACUUAAAGUACACAAUGUGUUAAGAUUUGACAUAGGUAGAUACCACAUCAAGAUAAUAAACAUGUUCCAUCAUCCCUAAAAUUUUCUCAUGCAUCAUUAUAAUCCCUCCCUCCCCCAUUCCCCAUGUACCCUUCACCAUCCAUCCAUAAGCUUUCUAUCACUAUAUAUUAGGUUGUAUUUAUUAGAUUUUUAUAUACACAGAGUCAUAUGUACUCUUUUUAAACCUGGUUUCCUUUACACAGCAUAAUUACUUUGUGAUUUAUCCAUGUUGUAGCAUGUAUUGAUAUUUUAUUCCUUAUAAUGCUAGGUAGUAUUCCAUUCUGUGAAUAUACCAGUUUAUCUAUUUGUUUAUAUGUCCAGAUGUUGACAGAUAUUUGAGGUUUCUUCCAGUUUUUUACUCUUAUGAAUAAAGUUACUCUGAAUAUUCAUAGGGAGAUAUAUGUUUUCAUAUAUCUUGGGUGAGCAGAAUGGCUG